This 496-nucleotide ribosomal RNA is filed under the name uncultured bacterium. RNAcentral describes it as "partial 16S ribosomal RNA". It matches the Rfam family "Bacterial small subunit ribosomal RNA", at positions 29 to 507 of the family's 1533-position model. The record is from RNAcentral.
AUGAACGCUGGCGGCGUGCCUAAUACAUGCAAGUCGAGCGAACAGACGAGGAGCUUGCUCCUCUGACGUUAGCGGCGGACGGGUGAGUAACACGUGGAUAACCUACCUAUAAGACUGGGAUAACUUCGGGAAACCGGAGCUAAUACCGGAUAAUAUAUUGAACCGCAUGGUUCAAUAGUGAAAGACGGUUUUGCUGUCACUUAUAGAUGGAUCCGCGCCGCAUUAGCGAGUUGGUAAGGUAACGGCUUACCAAGGCAACGAUGCGUAGCCGACCUGAGAGGGUGAUCGGCCACACUGGAACUGAGACACGGUCCAGACUCCUACGGGAGGCAGCAGUAGGGAAUCUUCCGCAAUGGGCGAAAGCCUGACGGAGCAACGCCGCGUGAGUGAUGAAGGUCUUCGGAUCGUAAAACUCUGUUAUUAGGGAAGAACAAAUGUGUAAGUAACUAUGCACGUCUUGACGGUACCUAAUCAGAAAGCCACGGCUAACUACGUG